AGGACGAACGCUGGCGGCGUGCCUAACACAUGCAAGUCGAACGAGGUCCAUCCGGUAGCAAUACCGGUGAAGAUCAAGUGGCGAACGGGUGAGUAGCACGUGAGCAACCUGCCCCGAAGACCGGGACAACACCGGGAAACCGGUGCUAAUACCGGAUGUCCCCACCGAGUCGCAUGGCUUGGUGAGGAAAUGGAUUCCGCUUCGGGAGGGGCUCGCGGCCUAUCAGCUUGUUGGUGAGGUAAUGGCUCACCAAGGCUUCGACGGGUAGCUGGUCUGAGAGGACGAUCAGCCACACUGGGACUGAGACACGGCCCAGACUCCUACGGGAGGCAGCAGUGGGGAAUCUUGCACAAUGGGCGAAAGCCUGAUGCAGCAACGCCGCGUGAGGGACGAAGGCUUUCUGAGUUGUAAACCUCUUUCAGCAGGGACGAUUGUGACGGUACCUGCAGAAGAACGCCCGGCAACUACGUGCCAGCAGCCGCGGU
Molecule: ribosomal RNA, 485 nt
Filed under: uncultured bacterium
Lineage: Bacteria
Description: SSU rRNA
Rfam family: Bacterial small subunit ribosomal RNA
Source: RNAcentral